This 1433-nucleotide ribosomal RNA is filed under the name Salmonella enterica subsp. enterica serovar Heidelberg. RNAcentral's name for it is "bacterial LSU rRNA". It matches the Rfam family "Bacterial large subunit ribosomal RNA", at positions 1 to 1629 of the family's 2925-position model. Lineage: Bacteria; Pseudomonadati; Pseudomonadota; Gammaproteobacteria; Enterobacterales; Enterobacteriaceae. The record is from RNAcentral.
GGGUUGUGAGGUUAAGCGACUAAGCGUACACGGUGGAUGCCCUGGCAGUCAGAGGCGAUGAAGGGCGUGCUAAUCUGCGAUAAGCGCCGGUAAGGUGAUAUGAACCGUUAUAACCGGCGAUACCCGAAUGGGGAAACCCAGUGUGACUCGUCACACUAUCAUUAACUGAAUCCAUAGGUUAAUGAGGCGAACCGGGGGAACUGAAACAUCUAAGUACCCCGAGGAAAAGAAAUCAACCGAGAUUCCCCCAGUAGCGGCGAGCGAACGGGGAGGAGCCCAGAGCCUGAAUCAGCAUGUGUGUUAGUGGAAGCGUCUGGAAAGGCGCGCGAUACAGGGUGACAGCCCCGUACACAAAAGCGCAUGUGCUGUGAGCUCGAUGAGUAGGGCGGGACACGUGGUAUCCUGUCUGAAUAUGGGGGGACCAUCCUCCAAGGCUAAAUACUCCUGACUGACCGAUAGUGAACCAGUACCGUGAGGGAAAGGCGAAAAGAACCCCGGCGAGGGGAGUGAAAAAGAACCUGAAACCGUGUACGUACAAGCAGUGGGAGCNNGGGCGUUAAGUUGCAGGGUAUAGACCCGAAACCCGGUGAUCUAGCCAUGGGCAGGUUGAAGGUUGGGUAACACUAACUGGAGGACCGAACCGACUAAUGUUGAAAAAUUAGCGGAUGACCUGUGGCUGGGGGUGAAAGGCCAAUCAAACCGGGAGAUAGCUGGUUCUCCCCGAAAGCUAUUUAGGUAGCGCCUCGUGAAUUCAUCUCCGGGGGUAGAGCACUGUUUCGGCUAGGGGGCCAUCCCGGCUUACCAACCCGAUGCAAACUGCGAAUACCGGAGAAUGUUAUCACGGGAGACACACGGCGGGUGCUAACGUCCGUCGUGAAGAGGGAAACAACCCAGACCGCCAGCUAAGGUCCCAAAGUCAUGGUUAAGUGGGAAACGAUGUGGGAAGGCCCAGACAGCCAGGAUGUUGGCUUAGAAGCAGCCAUCAUUUAAAGAAAGCGUAAUAGCUCACUGGUCGAGUCGGCCUGCGCGGAAGAUGUAACGGGGCUAAACCAUGCACCGAAGCUGCGGCAGCGANNUGCUGGAGGUAUCAGAAGUGCGAAUGCUGACAUAAGUAACGAUAAAGCGGGUGAAAAGCCCGCUCGCCGGAAGACCAAGGGUUCCUGUCCAACGUUAAUCGGGGCAGGGUGAGUCGACCCCUAAGGCGAGGCCGAAAGGCGUAGUCGAUGGGAAACGGGUUAAUAUUCCCGUACUUGGUGUUACUGCGAAGGGGGGACGGAGAAGGCUAUGUUGGCCGGGCGACGGUUGUCCCGGUUUAAGCGUGUAGGUGUGUGUUCCAGGUAAAUCCGGUUCACUUUAACACUGAGGCGUGACGACGAGGCACUACGGUGCUGAAGCAACAAAUGCCCUGCUUCCAGGAAAAGCCUCUAAGCAUA